GGGAGUUUAGCUCAGAUGGUAGAGCGCAUGUUUGGGAAGUCAGCCACCCCAAACGUGAGGUCGGAGGUUCGAGCCCUUCAUCGCCCG
This 87-nucleotide transfer RNA is filed under the name Fibrella aestuarina BUZ 2. It matches the Rfam family "tRNA". Rfam says of the family: Transfer RNA (tRNA) molecules are approximately 80 nucleotides in length. Their secondary structure includes four short double-helical elements and three loops (D, anti-codon, and T loops). Further hydrogen bonds mediate the characteristic L-shaped molecular structure. tRNAs have two regions of fundamental functional importance: the anti-codon, which is responsible for specific mRNA codon recognition, and the 3' end, to which the tRNAs corresponding amino acid is attached (by aminoacyl-tRNA synthetases). tRNAs cope with the degeneracy of the genetic code in two manners: having more than one tRNA (with a specific anti-codon) for a particular amino acid; and 'wobble' base-pairing, i.e. permitting non-standard base-pairing at the 3rd anti-codon position. The record is from Rfam by way of RNAcentral. Lineage: Bacteria; Pseudomonadati; Bacteroidota; Cytophagia; Cytophagales; Spirosomataceae.